UAGGUGAGGUAAGUAGCUGCUGUUAUACUCCCAAGAGUAUAGCAGAGGAAAGUCCGGACUCCAAGGAAAAAUAGUGACGGGUAAUACCCGCCGUAGAGAACUACAGUUAUAGGGCUACAGAAAAUAACCGCCUCUAUUGUAUAGAGGUAAGGUUGAAAAGGUGCGGUAAGAGCGCACCAUAAUAAUGGCAACAUUAUUAGUUGAGUAACCAGCACUAGGAGCAAGAUUAAAUAAGAGUAGGUUGUAUAUUUUCCUUAUAUCUACUCGGGUAAAUCGCAUGAAGCAAAUGGUAAGAUUUGCUCUAGAUAAAUAGCUACAUAAACAGAAUGCGGCUUAUACCUCACCUAGAGA
Molecule: RNase P RNA, 351 nt
Filed under: Wolbachia endosymbiont of Howardula sp.
Lineage: Bacteria; Pseudomonadati; Pseudomonadota; Alphaproteobacteria; Rickettsiales; Anaplasmataceae
Description: RNase P RNA component class A
Rfam family: Bacterial RNase P class A
About the family: Ribonuclease P (RNase P) is a ubiquitous endoribonuclease, found in archaea, bacteria and eukarya as well as chloroplasts and mitochondria. Its best characterised activity is the generation of mature 5'-ends of tRNAs by cleaving the 5'-leader elements of precursor-tRNAs. Cellular RNase Ps are ribonucleoproteins.
Source: RNAcentral